Molecule: ribosomal RNA, 450 nt
Filed under: uncultured bacterium
Lineage: Bacteria
Description: bacterial SSU rRNA
Rfam family: Bacterial small subunit ribosomal RNA
Source: RNAcentral
GUGGGGAAUUUUGGACAAUGGGCGCAAGCCUGAUCCAGCAAUGCCGCGUGCAGGAAGAAGGCCUUCGGGUUGUAAACUGCUUUUGUACGGAACGAAACGGUCCUGGCUAAUAUCCGGGGCUAAUGACGGUACCGUAAGAAUAAGCACCGGCUAACUACGUGCCAGCAGCCGCGGUAAUACGUAGGGUGCAAGCGUUAAUCGGAAUUACUGGGCGUAAAGCGUGCGCAGGCGGUUUUGUAAGACAGGCGUGAAAUCCCCGGGCUCAACCUGGGAAUUGCGCUUGUGACUGCAAGGCUGGAGUGCGGCAGAGGGGGAUGGAAUUCCGCGUGUAGCAGUGAAAUGCGUAGAUAUGCGGAGGAACACCGAUGGCGAAGGCAAUCCCCUGGGCCUGCACUGACGCUCAUGCACGAAAGCGUGGGGAGCAAACAGGAUUAGAUACCCGGGUAGUCC